This 649-nucleotide non-coding RNA is filed under the name Arachis hypogaea (peanut). The record is from RNAcentral. Lineage: Eukaryota; Viridiplantae; Streptophyta; Magnoliopsida; Fabales; Fabaceae.
CAACCCUAAGCUUUUGAGGAACUAAUAAAAGCUUCAUCUACUCUUUUAUUGCAUAACACAAACAAGCAUACAGACAUGAGAAAAAGGAACACAAGACACAACGAAGGAGAAUAGUUAAAAAGGAAAACAAGAAUGAUCAAAGCAAUAAUAUACCUACCUACAUACUCAUCUGUAGAAGAGAACAUGAACAUGAACAUGUUUUCCUUUUAUUACAUGAAGAUCAUAGUGAUGAUUAUAAGAUAACAUAGAUAUAUAUAGAGCCAUAUAAAAGGGACCCAUAAUGGAAUCCAUUGCCUUCUUGUGACUUGCCGGUUCGCCGGAGCUUUCGCCGCCAUAGCUUGUCUCUAUGAUCCUCUAUCAAGGAGAAGAAUGAAUGAAUGGCUUUAUCUUCUUCUUCUUCCCCCCUUUAGUGAUCAUAGAAAAACUAAUAACAUAGCUUAAGCCAAAGCAAACUGUUUUUGGAGUUUUAUGAGUGUGAGGGGUGAAACAACAAAUAAACCCUCUUCACACUUAUAACACUCCAUGCUUCUUUCAAGAUCCAUGGAUAGAUUUUUGCCAACAUAGAACCUUCAUAGAUUCAGGACUCCUUGUAUUGGUUUAGAUGAUUCCUAAACAAACAAACAAAAAAUAAUCAAGAAAACAAAGUUAG